GUCAGUAGUAGCUCAGUGAUUAGGAAGUUGGACUACUAAUCUGAAGGUCGUGAGUUCAAAUCCUAGCACUGCCG
Non-coding RNA from Ameiurus melas (black bullhead), 74 nucleotides. Lineage: Eukaryota; Metazoa; Chordata; Actinopteri; Siluriformes; Ictaluridae. The record is from the annotation of a GenBank genome assembly.